This 926-nucleotide long non-coding RNA is filed under the name Carica papaya (papaya). RNAcentral describes it as "long non-coding RNA (CPAP_LNC013597)". Lineage: Eukaryota; Viridiplantae; Streptophyta; Magnoliopsida; Brassicales; Caricaceae. The record is from RNAcentral.
UUUUUUCUUAAUAAAUUUUGAUUUACUGUACAAUAAAGUCAAGAAAGUCAUAGCUGAAACACAAGUAUUCUCUACAAAUUAGCUGACCCAUAAAAGAAGAAGAAUACAACUACAAGAAAAAUCCAUACAUAUAAUUUUUUUCCUCCAAUUUCCACAUUGAUGCCAAUAUCCAAAAACUUAGCAAACAUCCAAACGUCUAUACCCAUACAUACAAACAGAUAGACAUGUAUGUAUAUAUAUAUAUCCCAAUAUACUUAAUAAUUUUACAUUCUAUGUAGCUUUCCACAAUCAGAUUACCCAUUUACAUUCUAUUACUUGAUGACCAGUAGAAAUGAUCCGUGAACGAGAAAAAACUGUUCGGUUGCUGCAGCUGUACGCGUUAAAACUAUCAUCAACCAGUUCUAAGUUAGCAGAAACCGGUAAAAGUUCCAUACUCGGUUCCUGGAAAACCAAACUGCUGCAUGUUCCAAUCACCAGCAGUACCAGAACCAUGCUGCUUAUCUGGUGACAUUGUGUAGGUGUUGAAGAGAGUGGUGGAAGGAUCCACUCUAUAGGCUCCGCCAAACGAGCCCAUCUCUUGAGCAACGUAACCAGAGGUUCCGGAGCCAUAAUUUCUGGCGAAUGAGCUUAGGUACGUUGGAGUUUGAUGUGCAUACAAGCCUUCCAAAUGCUGAAGAGAUGGUUGCAAAUUCAAGGCAGUCUCUGACGUUGGAGCAACCUUCCGGGCUUGAGCCUUGAGGAAAGGAGCUGGGAUAUUAUGUUUCUGGUCUACAGAAUCAUUCCCGAUAGUCUUCUGCUUUUCUAGCUCCAAAAUGUAAUUUUCGAGCUCCUCUGGCGAACAGUGUGAUUCGAGCCUGUGAUCUAUGAUGCAUUUGAUGAUGGCUCUCACAGUCUCUAUUUCUCUUUCGAUUGCCUGCUUCUGUGAG